Molecule: transfer RNA, 87 nt
Organism: Puccinia sorghi
Lineage: Eukaryota; Fungi; Basidiomycota; Pucciniomycetes; Pucciniales; Pucciniaceae
Rfam family: tRNA
About the family: Transfer RNA (tRNA) molecules are approximately 80 nucleotides in length.
Source: Rfam
GGGGUUCUAGCUCAUCGGUAGAGCGCUCGCUUAGCAUCGCUGGGAUCGACUUGCGAGAGGUACUGGGUUCGACUCCUAGGUACUCCA